This 497-nucleotide ribosomal RNA is filed under the name uncultured bacterium. Its description in RNAcentral is "partial 16S ribosomal RNA". It matches the Rfam family "Bacterial small subunit ribosomal RNA", at positions 28 to 507 of the family's 1533-position model. The record is from RNAcentral.
GAUGAACGCUGGCGGCGUGCCUAAUACAUGCAAGUCGAGCGAACAGACGAGGAGCUUGCUCCUCUGACGUUAGCGGCGGACGGGUGAGUAACACGUGGAUAACCUACCUAUAAGACUGGGAUAACUUCAGGAAACCGGAGCUAAUACCGGAUAAUAUAUUGAACCGCAUGGUUCAAUAGUGAAAGACGGUUUUGCUGUCACUUAUAGAUGGAUCCGCGCCGCAUUAGCUAGUUGGUAAGGUAACGGCUUACCAAGGCAACGAUGCGUAGCCGACCUGAGAGGGUGAUCGGCCACACUGGAACUGAGACACGGUCCAGACUCCUACGGGAGGCAGCAGUAGGGAACCUUCCGCAAUGGGCGAAAGCCUGACGGAGCAACGCCGCGUGAGUGAUGAAGGUCUUCGGAUCGUAAAACUCUGUUAUUAGGGAAGAACAAAUGUGUAAGUAGCUAUGCACGUCUUGACGGUACCUAAUCAGAAAGCCACGGCUAACUACGUG